This is a long non-coding RNA of Beta vulgaris subsp. vulgaris (sugar beet), 556 nucleotides long. RefSeq lists it as uncharacterized. The record is from RefSeq and is a predicted model, not a curated record. Lineage: Eukaryota; Viridiplantae; Streptophyta; Magnoliopsida; Caryophyllales; Amaranthaceae. The transcript has 5 exons.
CAUGAACCAGAUGCCACGAUCAACUAUAUGCAAAGGACAUUGAGAACCAAUCGAAAUUAGAAAUUCAUCAUGCUUCCAUACAUUGAAAGUCAACAUUGGAUUCUUCUCGUCCUUUCUCUACACAAAAAAACGGUAUAUGUAUUUGAUUCGCUUAGGAGAUCAGAUAGAUCCUUAGCUAUCAAGGAAUCGUUGCAUACCGCAUAUACAUCAUUCCUGCUCCUUGAAGGUAUGAAAAAGGCAACAAAAUUGUCUUGGAUAUCUAUGAAGUGUGCUCAACAAACGGGAUGAGAUGAAUGUGGCUAUUUCGUUAUGAAAAACAUGUUUCAAAUCGUCCGCUAUCUCUAUGAGUCAAAUGAUUUGAAGAAGGAUUUUCCUCAAAGCGUUGAACCAUACACCAUAGAAGAUAUCAACGAAAUCAGAGACAAUUUUGCGCUAUUCUUUCAACAUCUCGUGCUAGCAGAAAAUGCCAAGUAGUGUUAGUGUAGUAAGUGUACUAAGUGUAGUAGAUGUACAUAAUUGGUUUAUUAUUGCAACCUUGGUUGAGUAUAUGGCAACA